CUAUUCACGUACUGAGGCGCUCAUUGUGGGAGGGGAGUGUUAUCGUUCCCCACAACUGACGUCAUGUCACCUCUUGCUGCCGCGUGACAUCACGAGAUAACAGGAAGCUGCUGCUCCGCCCGUGCACUGAAAUCCGAGGCCAAGCCGCUUGAGCUGCUGUGCCGCUUUUGUUUUCAGAAGCGACCUGCCCACAACACAACACAAGCUGUCGCUUCCUCUGCAGAAUUGGUCUGAUGGAGCAAAGGCACUCGGCGCAGCUCGGUGCAAAAAGGCAUCAAUGCGACCGGUGUGCAUACAGCACGGAUAGUACUGCACAUUUCACGUGGCACCAGAGAACCCACACGGGAGAGAAACCCUUCAAGUGCAAUGUGUGUGGGAAGGCGUUUGCACAGUCACCAAAUCUUUAUGUACACCAGAGAACACACACGGGAGAGAAACCCUUCAAGUGC
Non-coding RNA from Petromyzon marinus (sea lamprey), 449 nucleotides. Lineage: Eukaryota; Metazoa; Chordata; Hyperoartia; Petromyzontiformes; Petromyzontidae. The record is from RefSeq and is a predicted model, not a curated record.